UCCUUUUACCCGUAUCCUCCACGAUACCUCAUACAUUCCUUAAACAUUUUUGUUUUCCUGAUUAUUCUAUUUUGUCGACAGUCAAGAUGAUGAGACAAAUGACCUUCAUUCUUCAGACCAGCUAUCUUUAGCCACGUUUCGUUGUUGAUUAUGAUGUCCACUCCCUUCACUCUAGAGUAGAUAUAUCCGUUCACUUCUUUGACGUUGUUGUAGAAUACUUCAACAAGUUCGAGAUAAC
Molecule: long non-coding RNA, 238 nt
Filed under: Vigna radiata
Lineage: Eukaryota; Viridiplantae; Streptophyta; Magnoliopsida; Fabales; Fabaceae
Description: long non-coding RNA (VRAD_LNC008286)
Source: RNAcentral